Molecule: ribosomal RNA, 433 nt
Filed under: uncultured bacterium
Lineage: Bacteria
Description: partial 16S ribosomal RNA
Rfam family: Bacterial small subunit ribosomal RNA
Source: RNAcentral
AACGAACGCUGGCGGCAUGCCUAACACAUGCAAGUCGAACGAGACCUUCGGGUCUAGUGGCGCACGGGUGCGUAACGCGUGGGAACCUGCCCUUAGGUUCGGAAUAACUCCCCGAAAGGGGUGCUAAUACCGGAUAAUGUCUUCGGACCAAAGAUUUAUCGCCUUUGGAUGGGCCCGCGUUGGAUUAGCUAGUUGGUAGGGUAAAAGCCUACCAAGGCGACGAUCCAUAGCUGGUCUGAGAGGAUGAUCAGCCACACUGGGACUGAGACACGGCCCAGACUCCUACGGGAGGGAGCAGUGGGGAAUAUAGGACAAUGGGCGAAAGCCUGAUCCAGCAAGGCCGGGUGAGUGAUGAAGGCCUUAGGGUUGUAAAGCUCUUUUACCCGGGAUGAUAAUGACAGUACCGGGAGAAUAAGCACCGGCUAACUCCGUG